Small nuclear RNA from Nycticebus coucang (slow loris), 106 nucleotides. NCBI's taxonomy places the organism in Eukaryota, Metazoa, Chordata, Mammalia, Primates, Lorisidae. The record is from RefSeq and is a predicted model, not a curated record.
GUACUCCUUAGGCAGCACAUAUACCCCAACUGGAACAAUACAGAGCAGAUUAGCAUAGCCCCUGCACAAGGAUGACACACAAAUUCAUGAAGCAUUCCAUGUUUUU